AAUAAAUAUAAUUUUACACCGUUCAUCUUUAACAUUUGACCAUUUAUUUUAUUUAAAUUUUUUUUUAUGAUUAGUAUUUUUAUUGUUAUUAGAUAUAAAACAUUAAUAGUAUUUAAAGCAUGACUAACUAUUUUAAAUUUUUUUAUAAUUUUAUAAAUAAAAUGGACGAUUAAACACUGUACACGGAUACCCUCGACUAUAGUUAUU
Molecule: microRNA precursor, 207 nt
Organism: Oryza rufipogon (brownbeard rice)
Lineage: Eukaryota; Viridiplantae; Streptophyta; Magnoliopsida; Poales; Poaceae
Rfam family: MIR812 microRNA precursor family
Source: Rfam